RNAcentral lists this ribosomal RNA (501 nucleotides) under Capra hircus (goat). RNAcentral's name for it is "partial large subunit ribosomal RNA". It matches the Rfam family "Bacterial large subunit ribosomal RNA", at positions 1846 to 2569 of the family's 2925-position model. Lineage: Eukaryota; Metazoa; Chordata; Mammalia; Artiodactyla; Bovidae. The record is from RNAcentral.
UUGGAGGCACUGCCUGCCCAGUGACUAAACGUUAAACGGCCGCGGUAUUCUGACCGUGCAAAGGUAGCAUAAUCAUUUGUUCUCUAAAUAAGGACUUGUAUGAACGGCCACACGAGGGUUUUACUGUCUCUUACUUCCAAUCAGUGAAAUUGACCUCCCCGUGAAGAGGCGGGAAUGAAUUAACAAGACGAGAAGACCCUAUGGAGCUUUAACUAACUAGUCCAAAAGAAAUAAAUUUAACCACCAAGGGAUAACAACAUCCUUUAUGGACUAGCAGUUUUGGUUGGGGUGACCUCGGAGAACAAGAGAUCCUCCGAGCGAUUUUAAAGACUAGACUUACAAGUCAAAUCAAAUUAUCGCUUAUUGAUCCAAAAAACUUGAUCAACGGAACAAGUUACCCUAGGGAUAACAGCGCAAUCCUAUUCAAGAGUCCAUAUCGACAAUAGGGUUUACGACCUCGAUGUUGGAUCAGGACAUCCUGAUGGUGCAACCGCUAUCAAA